GAUGAACGCUAGCUACAGGCUUAACACAUGCAAGUCGAGGGGAAACGACAUCGAAAGCUUGCUUUCGAUGGGCGUCGACCGGCGCACGGGUGAGUAACGCGUAUCCAACCUGCCCACCACUUGGGGAUAACCUUGCGAAAGUAAGACUAAUACCCGAUGAUAUCUCUAGAAGACAUCUGAAAGGGAUUAAAGAUUUAUCGGUGAUGGAUGGGGAUGCGUCUGAUUAGCUUGUUGGCGGGGUAACGGCCCACCAAGGCAACGAUCAGUAGGGGUUCUGAGAGGAAGGUCCCCCACAUUGGAACUGAGACACGGUCCAAACUCCUACGGGAGGCAGCAGUGAGGAAUAUUGGUCAAUGGGCGAGAGCCUGAACCAGCCAAGUAGCGUGCAGGACGACGGCCCUAUGGGUUGUAAACUGCUUUUAUAAGGGAAUAAAGUGAGUCUCGUGAGACUUUUUGCAUGUACCUUAUGAAUAAGGACCGGCUAAUUCCGUG
RNAcentral lists this ribosomal RNA (492 nucleotides) under uncultured bacterium. RNAcentral's name for it is "bacterial SSU rRNA". It matches the Rfam family "Bacterial small subunit ribosomal RNA", at positions 28 to 507 of the family's 1533-position model. The record is from RNAcentral.